GCGAAGCAAUCUCAACACCAACAACGACGCCUGAAAUCCAACCCACAACUCCCGCAAUACAAUCAACAAGAAAACGUGGACUACUGAACCCAACAGGUAUGAUAUGAACAUCAACAGAAAACACCAAAAUCUCUCGCCCCAUAAAAGGAAACAAUGAUCUCAUUUUGGAUGUGGCGACAUUAUAAAGUACAACCUUUUAUAAACGCAGCAACUGUUUUGUAAAUAGUUGUGGUAGACACAAGGCAACUUCUUUUGCGUAUCCACUGUAAAAUAGCAAUCUUAGGUGGUUGUCUUAGACAACGUCACUUUUUUGGGGUAUCCAAUGUAAAUAACCUGAUAAUCCUUGUAAUAUUUUCACUAUAUACCUUUACAACUGCUU
RNAcentral lists this long non-coding RNA (379 nucleotides) under Helianthus annuus (common sunflower). RNAcentral's name for it is "hypothetical non coding rna". The record is from RNAcentral. Lineage: Eukaryota; Viridiplantae; Streptophyta; Magnoliopsida; Asterales; Asteraceae.